CUCUCUCUCUGCCCCUCCCCUGCUCAUGUAUGGACUCUCUCUCAAAAUAAAUUAAAAAAAAAAAAAAAAAAGAAAUAGGGUCUUUGCUGAUGAUUAAAGUGAGGUUUUAAGGUUUUUAGGGUGGAUCCUAAUCCAAUAUGCCUAGUAUCUUCAUAAAAAGGGAAAAUUUGUACACGGACAUGUACAAGGGGAAGACUGCAGGAAAACACAAGGAGAACACCAUCUACAAGCCAAGCAAUUCUGGAAGCCACCAGAAGGUAAGAGAGAAGCAUGGAAGAUUCUUCCUCAGAACCCUCAGAGGGAACCCAUCCUGUUGACUUCUUGAUUUUGGACUUCUGGCCUUCAGAAUUGUGAGACAAUACAUUUCUGUUGUUUAAACCAUCAAGUUUGUAAUACUUGUUAGAGCUGCCUCAGGAAACUAUAUGGACAUCAUGAAUAUAAAUCUGUCAUAAUAUGCUGUCAGGGAGACAAGUUCAAAGAAAUUAUCAAUUAAAAAAAUGUACUAGUGCUCUCCAUACCUACUAGCCUAAAAAAAGAAAAGUUUUGUACAACUAGAAUUGUUAUGUAGUUUUCUGGCACCUGUCUAAAUUGAGAGAGUAAUACCAGUCUAAUCAGGAACAGUAAGAAAAACACAUUUUCUAUGAACAACUACAUCGUUCCCAGACCCUAACAUGUAAGUGAUAACAGUGAAUGUCAUGUCUAAUAAUGAAAAGUGCUGAAAUAACAAUAUAUUGCUAAAAUGAGCUUAUUAUAUAUUUUAUUGUGCCCAAAAGCAAAAUGAAAUUUUAUGAAGAGAACCAUAUUGGCUGUUUCAAUUUACCAAGAUAUUUAAAUAUAUACUCUUAAAUUUAAAAGGUAUAUCAUUAACACUAGAAAAAACUUGGGGGAAAAAAUCCCAUCAUCUAUAAUAAUCAUUUUCAUAGGUUAUCAUCAGACUACAUAUAAUAUGCAUUUUUCCAUGCUUAACCAUACAUUUUCCAUGGUUAAGGCACAGUCUAGAUUAGGUAAAUCAUAAUAUAUACAACUGUUCUUUUUUAACUGAUCAUUUUGGUUGCUUUUGAUCUUCUAAUACUAUUAACAUUAUUGUGUUGAAUAUCUGCAUUUAUUUUUUUCAUAUUUUAAAUUAUUUCCUUAAGUACAGAUUCCUGGAAGUAAAAAACUACAGUAAGUAUUUUUUUUUUUUAACAUUUAUUUUUGAGACAGAGAGAGACAGAGCAUGAACAGGGGAGGGGCAGAGAGAGAGGGAGACACAGAAUCUGAAAAAGGCUCCAGGCUCUGAGCGGUCAGCACAGAGCCCGACGCGGGGCUCGAACUCACGGACUGUGAGAUCAUGACCUGAGCUGAAAUCAGAUGCUUAACCGACCGAGCCACCCAGGCGCCCCAAAAACUACAGACUCCUUACUUUAUAAAAUGCACAUGUAUUCUGGAGACUGGCUGUACAACAAUGUGAAUACACUGGACACUAUUGAACUGUACACCUAAAAAUGACUAAGAUGAGAGAGCGCCUGUGCAUGUGUGAUUGAGGGAGGGGCAGAGAGAAUCUUAAGCAGGCCUCAUGCUCAGUGUGGAACCUGAUGUGGCACUUGAUCUCCUGACCCCAGAGAUCAUGACCUGAGCUGAAAUCAAGAGUCAGACGCUCAAAUGAUUGAGCCACCCAGGUGCCCCUAUCUUCUGUCAAUUUUAAUGUAAGCGUAUGUGAAUGAGGAAUUCCUUAUAACACUGGGAACUGCUUAGCCCAUCGGUGUCCUAAAUACUUUCAGUUCACUUAUAUAAUUAAUGUGACAGAAAAUCCUAGUCAUGCCUACAAAAUGUAAUUUAGAAAAUACACUGUAAAAUAUAAUUCAUUUACUGCCUUCUGUGUAAGUAAAAUCUUACAAAAUAAUUUAGCGAAGUAAUAAAUGCUGUAUCUAUUAAGAAAACAUUCAGUGCUUUUCUACAAAAUAUUCCAUAAAAUAUUAUAAUCAA
Molecule: long non-coding RNA, 1965 nt
Organism: Neofelis nebulosa (Clouded leopard)
Lineage: Eukaryota; Metazoa; Chordata; Mammalia; Carnivora; Felidae
Exons: 3
Source: RefSeq, a predicted model, not a curated record